Molecule: ribosomal RNA, 494 nt
Filed under: uncultured bacterium
Lineage: Bacteria
Description: partial 16S ribosomal RNA
Rfam family: Bacterial small subunit ribosomal RNA
Source: RNAcentral
GACGAACGCUGGCGGCGUGCUUAACACAUGCAAGUCGAACGGUGAAGCGCCUUCCUUUUUGGUGGGUGUGGAUGAGUGGCGAACGGGUGAGUAACACGUGAGUAACCUGCCCCCUUCUUCUGGAUAACCGCAUGAAAGUGUGGCUAAUACGGGAUAUUCUGGGUCUGUCGCAUGAUGGGUCUGGGAAAGAUAUUGUUUCGGUGGGGGAUGGGCUCGCGGCCUAUCAGCUUGUUGGUGGGGUGAUGGCCUACCAAGGCGGUGACGGGUAGCCGGCCUGAGAGGGUGUACGGUCACACAGGGACUGAGACACGGUCCGGACUGCUAUGGGAGGCAGCAGUGGGGAGUAUUGCACAAUGGGGGCAAGACUGAUGCAGCGACGCCGCGUGAGUGAUGGAGGCCUUCGGGUUGUGAACCUCUUUCGCCAGUGAAGCAGGCCUGCCUCAUUUGUGGGUGGGUUGACGGUAGCUGGAGAAGAAGCGCCGGCUAACUACGUG